UACGUAGGGUGCAAGCGUUAAUCGGAAUUACUGGGCGUAAAGCGUGCGCAGGCGGUUAUGUAAGACAGGUGUGAAAUCCCAGGGCUUAACCUUGGAACUGCAUUUGUGACUGCAUAGCUAGAGUACGGUAGAGGGGGAUGGAAUUCCGCGUGUAGCAGUGAAAUGCGUAGAUAUGCGGAGGAACACCGAUGGCGAAGGCAAUCCCCU
This 207-nucleotide ribosomal RNA is filed under the name uncultured bacterium. RNAcentral describes it as "partial 16S ribosomal RNA". It matches the Rfam family "Bacterial small subunit ribosomal RNA", at positions 524 to 730 of the family's 1533-position model. The record is from RNAcentral.